This is a non-coding RNA of Onchocerca ochengi, 134 nucleotides long. The record is from Rfam. NCBI's taxonomy places the organism in Eukaryota, Metazoa, Nematoda, Chromadorea, Rhabditida, Onchocercidae.
GUACGGAUGGCCGAGUGGUCUAAGGCGCCAGAUUCAAGUGACAUACUGUUUCUCACGAGUUCAAAGUAUGGUACGAUUUACAUGGGUAUUUUGGUAUCGUUAUAGAUGUGUGAGGGCGAAUCCUACUCCGUACA